Molecule: ribosomal RNA, 320 nt
Filed under: Enterobacter asburiae
Lineage: Bacteria; Pseudomonadati; Pseudomonadota; Gammaproteobacteria; Enterobacterales; Enterobacteriaceae
Also listed under: 1 other name
Description: bacterial SSU rRNA
Rfam family: Bacterial small subunit ribosomal RNA
Source: RNAcentral
UGAGUAAUGUCUGGGAAACUGCCUGAUGGAGGGGGAUAACUACUGGAAACGGUAGCUAAUACCGCAUAACGUCGCAAGACCAAAGAGGGGGACCUUCGGGCCUCUUGCCAUCAGAUGUGCCCAGAUGGGAUUAGCUAGUAGGUGGGGUAACGGCUCACCUAGGCGACGAUCCCUAGCUGGUCUGAGAGGAUGACCAGCCACACUGGAACUGAGACACGGUCCAGACUCCUACGGGAGGCAGCAGUGGGGAAUAUUGCACAAUGGGCGCAAGCCUGAUGCAGCCAUGCCGCGUGUAUGAAGAAGGCCUUCGGGUUGUAAAG